UUUUUGACGGAGUCUUGCCCUUGUAACCCAGGCUGGAGUGCAAUGGCACGAUCUCAGGUCACUGCAACCUCUGCCUGCUGGGUUCAAGUGAUUCUCCUACCUCAGCCUCCUGAGUAGUUGGGACUACAGGCACAGGCAACCACACCCAGCUAAUUUUUAAAAUUUUUUUAUAGAGAUAGGGUCUCACUAUGUUGCUCAAGAAUUUAAGGCCAGCCUAGACAAUGU
RNAcentral lists this long non-coding RNA (225 nucleotides) under Pan troglodytes (chimpanzee). RNAcentral's name for it is "long non-coding RNA NONPTRT005969". The record is from RNAcentral. Lineage: Eukaryota; Metazoa; Chordata; Mammalia; Primates; Hominidae.